GAUGAACGCUAGCUACAGGCUUAACACAUGCAAGUCGAGGGGCAGCAGGGAUUUAGCUUGCUAAAUCCGCUGGCGACCGGCGCACGGGUGCGUAACGCGUAUCCAACCUUCCCGUUACUCUUGGAUAGCCUUCCGAAAGGGAGAUUAAUACAAGAUGGUAUUCAAAUUCCGCAUGUUAUUUGAAUUAAAGAUUUAUCGGUAACGGAUGGGGAUGCGUGACAUUAGAUAGUAGGCGGGGUAACGGCCCACCUAGUCUACGAUGUCUAGGGGUUCUGAGAGGAAGGUCCCCCCACACUGGAACUGAGACACGGUCCAGACUCCUACGGGAGGCAGCAGUGAGGAAUAUUGGUCAAUGGUCGGAAGACUGAACCAGCCAAGUAGCGUGAAGGAUGAAGGUUCUAUGGAUUGUAAACUUCUUUUAUACGGGAAUAAAACCUCCACGUGUGGGAGCUUGUAUGUACCGUAUGAAUAAGCAUCGGCUAACUCCGUG
RNAcentral lists this ribosomal RNA (490 nucleotides) under uncultured bacterium. RNAcentral's name for it is "bacterial SSU rRNA". It matches the Rfam family "Bacterial small subunit ribosomal RNA", at positions 28 to 507 of the family's 1533-position model. The record is from RNAcentral.